UUAAAAAAAAAGGCAGUACAGGAGUUUUGAGUAGAAAAAAAGGCAGGAUGAGCAACUUGGCAAAAAAAAAGGCAGGAUGACAAUUUAAGUAAAAAAAGUCAGGAUAAACUAAUAAAAAAAAAAAGGCAAAACCGAAUAAAGUGACAAAUUAAAAGGCAGGACAGAGAUUUAAACUAAAAAAAAUGCAGGACAAUUUUUUUUCAUCCUUGCCCCCC
RNAcentral lists this long non-coding RNA (215 nucleotides) under Mytilus galloprovincialis (Mediterranean mussel). The record is from RNAcentral. Lineage: Eukaryota; Metazoa; Mollusca; Bivalvia; Mytilida; Mytilidae.